Molecule: unclassified non-coding RNA, 299 nt
Organism: Vicugna pacos (alpaca)
Lineage: Eukaryota; Metazoa; Chordata; Mammalia; Artiodactyla; Camelidae
Gene: 7SK
Rfam family: 7SK RNA
About the family: 7SK was discovered as an abundant small nuclear RNA in the mid-70s but a possible function has only recently been suggested. Two independent studies have found that 7SK RNA binds the CDK9/cyclin T complex (known as elongation factor P-TEFb).
Source: Ensembl
GGAUAUGAGGGUGAUCUGGCUGCGACAUCUGUCACCCCACUGACCACCAGGGUUGAUUUCACUGAUCUGGCUGGCUAGGUGAGUGUCCCCUUCCUCCCUCACUGCUCCACGUGCGUCCUUCACCAAGCUGCGCACUCGGGCGAAGAGGACUACUAUCCCCAACAGAGGAGGACCGUCCUUCUCAGUCAAGGGUAUGUGAGUAGCUGUGCUCCCCUGCUGGCACCUCCAAACAAGCUCUCAAGACAAGGGCCAUCCAGCAGAGUUUACUGAUAAAAUGAAAGUGGUAUAUACAGGAAUGU